RNAcentral lists this ribosomal RNA (492 nucleotides) under uncultured bacterium. RNAcentral's name for it is "partial 16S ribosomal RNA". It matches the Rfam family "Bacterial small subunit ribosomal RNA", at positions 29 to 507 of the family's 1533-position model. The record is from RNAcentral.
AGUGAACGCUGGCGGUAUGCCUAACACAUGCAAGUCGAACGGCAGCACAGUAAGCUCUUGCUCUUACGGUUGGCGAGUGGCGGACGGGUAAGGAAUACAUCAGCAUCUACUUUUUCUUGGGUGAUAACGUAAGGAAAGUUACACUACUACCUCAUACAACCUACCGCUUAAAUCAAUGGAGCUUCACACCUUUCGCGAUUGUAUUAGCCGAUGUCGCAUUAGCUAGUUGGUUUGGUAAAGUCCCACCAAGGCGACGAUGCGUAGCUGGCCUGAGAGGAUGAUCCGCCACACUGGAACUGAGACACGGUCCAGACUCCUACGGGAGGCAGCAGUAGGGAAUCUUCGGCAAUGGGCGAAAGCCUGACGGAGCAAUGCCGCGUGAGUGAUGAAGGUCUUCGGAUUGUAAAGCUCUGUUAUUAGGGAAGAACAAAAGUGGAAUAAACUAUGGAUGUUUUGACGGUACCUAAACAGAAAGCCACGGCUAACUUCGUG